This 244-nucleotide ribosomal RNA is filed under the name uncultured bacterium. RNAcentral's name for it is "partial 16S ribosomal RNA". It matches the Rfam family "Bacterial small subunit ribosomal RNA", at positions 524 to 767 of the family's 1533-position model. The record is from RNAcentral.
UACGAAGGGGGCUAGCGUUGCUCGGAAUCACUGGGCGUAAAGCGCACGUAGGCGGAUCUUUAAGUCAGGGGUGAAAUCCUGGAGCUCAACUCCAGAACUGCCUCUGAUACUGGGGAUCUUGAGUCCGGAAGAGGUAAGUGGAACUGCGAGUGUAGAGGUGAAAUUCGUAGAUAUUCGCAAGAACACCAGUGGCGAAGGCGGCUUACUGGUCCGGUACUGACGCUGAGGUGCGAAAGCGAUGGGG